AGGACGAACGCUGGCGGCGUGCUUAACACAUGCAAGUCGAGCGGAAAGGCCCUUCGGGGUACUCGAGCGGCGAACGGGUGAGUAACACGUGAGCAACCUGCCCUUAGCUCUGGGAUAGCUCCGGGAAACCGGAAUUAAUACCGGAUAUGACCUAGGCCGACAUCGGCCGUGGUGGAAAGUUUUUCGGCUAGGGAUGGACUCGCGGCCUAUCAGCUAGUUGGUGGGGUAACGGCCUACCAAGGCGACGACGGGUAG
Molecule: ribosomal RNA, 255 nt
Filed under: uncultured bacterium
Lineage: Bacteria
Description: partial small subunit ribosomal RNA
Rfam family: Bacterial small subunit ribosomal RNA
Source: RNAcentral